RNAcentral lists this long non-coding RNA (650 nucleotides) under Struthio camelus australis. RNAcentral describes it as "lncRNA (ENSSCUG00000014262.1)". The record is from RNAcentral. Lineage: Eukaryota; Metazoa; Chordata; Aves; Struthioniformes; Struthionidae.
GAAAGAAUUCUUGGAAAUUGCCUGUGUGUGCAAGAGUAACUUGCUGUUGAGUCACUCCUUUAAAAAAGGCACAAGUUGUAGGGCUGGUUAGGAAACACAGAAAGGCAGUCACAUUGGCCGUAGGAGAUGGAGCUAAUGACAUCAGCCUAAUCAAAAGUGCACACACAGGAGUUGUCAUCAGUAGCCAGGAAAGAAUGCAAGCAGUCUUGGCCAGUGCCUAUUCAUUUGCCCUAUUCAGAUACCUGCAGAGACUUGCUCUUGUUUAUGGCAGGUGGUUUUAUCUCAGAAUGUGCAAGUGUUAUUUCUUCUACAAAAACUUUACUUUCACACAGAUGUAUCUCCUGAAACCAGAGAGAGGAACUGAUGGAAAAUUCUAAACUGCAGCUACAAUGCGUAUUCCAAAAAUCAUGCAGUGGUGACUUCAGAAAAGGAAAUCAUUCCUGAUGCUGCUGGCAUGGCUCCAGAAAAGAGAGACUCAAGGACUGUGUGAAAGCAUGAAUAACUGUGAGACUCUUACUGUUCUGAGCCUCGGGAAGUAAGCUUUAUGUAUCUGUAGAAGGGGAUUUUUUUUUUUAGUAACUGAAGUAAUUAAAUGUAACAUUUGAUUAUAAUUUAUAGAAUUGCACACUAUUGGAAAGCUUUUAAUGAAU